UGGGGAAUAUUGCACAAUGGAGGGAACUCUGAUGCAGCGACGCCGCGUGAACGAAGAAGGCUUUCGAGUCGUAAAGUUCUUUUAUAUGGGAAGAUAAUGACGGUACCAUAAGAAAAAGCCCCGGCUAACUACGUGCCAGCAGCCGCGGUAAUACGUAGGGGGCUAGCGUUGUUCGGAAUCACUGGGCGUAAAGGGUUCGCAGGCGGAAAUGCAAGUCAGGUGUGAAAGGCAGUAGCUUAACUACUGUAAGCAUUUGAAACUGCAUAUCUUGAGAAGAGUAGAGGUAAGUGGAAUUUUUAGUGUAGCGGUGAAAUGCGUAGAUAUUAAAAAGAAUACCGGUGGCGAAGGCGGCUUACUGGGCUCAUUCUGACGCUGAGGAACGAAAGCGUGGGUAGCAAACAGG
This 403-nucleotide ribosomal RNA is filed under the name bacterium. Its description in RNAcentral is "partial 16S ribosomal RNA". It matches the Rfam family "Bacterial small subunit ribosomal RNA", at positions 355 to 776 of the family's 1533-position model. The record is from RNAcentral.